AUUGAACGCUGGCGGCAGGCCUAACACAUGCAAGUCGAACGAGUGGCGGACGGGUGAGUAAUGUCUGGGAAACUGCCCGAUGGAGGGGGAUAACUACUGGAAACGGUAGCUAAUACCGCAUACCAUCGGAUGUGCCCAGAUGGGGUUUGCUUGUAGGUGAGGGAACGGCUCACCCAGGCGACGAUCCCUAGCUGGUCUGAGAGGAUGACCAGCGAAACGGGAACUGAGACACGGUCCAGACUCCUACGGGAGGCAGUAGUGGGGAAUAUUGCACAAGGGGCGCAAGCCUGAUGCAGCCAUGCCGCGGGUGUGAAGAAGGCCUUCGGGUUGUAAAGUACUUUCAGCGAGGAGGCGUUACCCGCAGAAGAAGCACCGGCUAACUCCGUGCCAGCAGCCGCGGUAAUUC
This 406-nucleotide ribosomal RNA is filed under the name uncultured bacterium. RNAcentral's name for it is "partial 16S ribosomal RNA". It matches the Rfam family "Bacterial small subunit ribosomal RNA", at positions 30 to 526 of the family's 1533-position model. The record is from RNAcentral.